GGAUGGACCUGACAAAGGUGGGCAGCAUCUUGACGGUCGCGGUGGUGUUGGUGUCGCGGCCCAGCCCGUUCUCCAGCUCCCGCCGGAACCGACACUUGAUGUCAUGCAGCGUCUCGUCAGAGAAACGCAUGGAGUAAAGUCCCCAGUAUGUCAACCUCACGCUCUACGUAAACUGAACCAUCUCGGCUGACUCAAUGACGCGUGACGCUUCUGAUGUCUUUUUCCAUCAACUCUAUAGUGAAUUAGAACCUCCCCCUAUUUUCUCCCCUCCUCCUCCCUCCCUACUCCCUUCCCUCUAUCCCCCUCUCCACUGGCCUCAGGGGAAAUAAGGGUUUUCCCUCUCUCUGUUCUGUCCUCCAAAGGAGCAGCUUGAGAGAGAGUGCGCUUUGUGUUUGGUUGACCUGUCGCUCUCUCCUCCAAAAAGACUGCCUGGUGCCAUCAUGGCCGCUCCAAGGUGACCUUGUCUCUGGCUUCACUGUGAGAGGCCACAGAGAGAGAAUAAUAAAGGGAUACUAUUGACACAGAA
Molecule: long non-coding RNA, 526 nt
Organism: Oncorhynchus kisutch (coho salmon)
Lineage: Eukaryota; Metazoa; Chordata; Actinopteri; Salmoniformes; Salmonidae
Exons: 2
Source: RefSeq, a predicted model, not a curated record